Non-coding RNA from Cyanistes caeruleus (blue tit), 625 nucleotides. The record is from RefSeq and is a predicted model, not a curated record. Lineage: Eukaryota; Metazoa; Chordata; Aves; Passeriformes; Paridae.
CUGGCUGAGCUUGGGGCUCAGAGCUCCCUGGGCACAGGUUGCACUUAAGAGGAUUUUUACAAUGGAAAUAAAUCAUUCUGUGAUUCCAGAAAAAGCCCCUGGUCUAAGGCCCAGGGUGAGCCAAACAAUCUCACCUGCCCACCUGGUCAGAAACUGAUAAAGAUUGAACUGGAUUCAAGUUAAACAAAGAUGGAACAAGUAACAAUAUUUAAUCAGAGGUUUCUUUGAAAGCCUUCCAAAACUUUGAACACAGGUUCCCUCCAGACAAAACAGAACAAAUUCAAAGCCAGGAGAGUUCCAAAGCACCUGAGUUUCUGUGACUUCACAUCUCUCUCAGUCAGCUGAGUGCCCAGAACAGAGAGAUGUCCCAGCCCUGAGGAACCUGCAGGUCAGGGAGGAUUUUUGAGCAGCAAGAAGCUGGAAAUGGUCUAAUUAAGAGCUUACCCCCAUCUCAGGUAGGGAAGAUUCUUUUUUGUGGAGGGGAUUUCUGAGCUCUCAGUGCUUCCAAGAGAAGCUGGCAAAGCCUUCCCUCUCCAUCUCACCCUGCAGGCCCCAGCACUGCCUACAGAGCACAGGAGAGAGCUCUGGAACUGCCUCUGCAGCUGAAUACAAUAUCCAUUAUUAG